Molecule: ribosomal RNA, 443 nt
Filed under: uncultured bacterium
Lineage: Bacteria
Description: partial 16S ribosomal RNA
Rfam family: Bacterial small subunit ribosomal RNA
Source: RNAcentral
CCUACGGGUGGCUGCAGUGGGGAAUAUUGGGCAAUGGGCGCAAGCCUGACCCAGCAACGCCGCGUGAAGGAAGAAGGCUUUCGGGUUGUAAACUUCUUUUCUCAGGGACGUAGCAAGUGACGGUACCUGAGGAAUAAGCCACGGGUAACUACGUGCCAGCAGCGGCGGUAAUACGUAGGUGGCAAGCGUUAUCCGGAUUUACUGGGUGUAAAGGGCGUGUAGGCGGGAAAGCAAGUCAGAUGUGUAAAUCAUGGGCUCAACCUGGGCCCUGAGAUCAAAACUGUCGGACUUGAGUACAGGAGGGGGAACUGGAAGUCCUAGUGGAGCGGGGGAAUGCGUAGAGAUUAGGAGGGAAGCCAGGGGAGAAGGCGAGUUGCUGGACUGGAACUGACACUGAGGCACGAAAGCGUGGGGAGCAAACAGGAUUAGAUACCCUUGGAGUC